UACGUAGGGUGCAAGCGUUGUCCGGAAUUAUUGGGCGUAAAGAGCUCGUAGGCGGUCCGUCACGUCGGCUGUGAAAACCCGGGGCUCAACUCCGGGCCUGCAGUCGAUACGGGCGGACUAGAGUACUGCAGGGGAGACUGGAAUUCCUGGUGUAGCGGUGAAAUGCGCAGAUAUCAGGAGGAACACCGGUGGCGAAGGCGACUACCUGGCCUGUUCUUGACGCUGAGGCGCGAAAGCUAGGGGAGCAAACGGG
Molecule: ribosomal RNA, 253 nt
Filed under: uncultured bacterium
Lineage: Bacteria
Description: partial 16S ribosomal RNA
Rfam family: Bacterial small subunit ribosomal RNA
Source: RNAcentral